This 761-nucleotide ribosomal RNA is filed under the name uncultured Cortinarius. RNAcentral describes it as "eukaryotic LSU rRNA". It matches the Rfam family "Eukaryotic large subunit ribosomal RNA", at positions 216 to 962 of the family's 3401-position model. Lineage: Eukaryota; Fungi; Basidiomycota; Agaricomycetes; Agaricales; Cortinariaceae. The record is from RNAcentral.
GAAUCCCGUCUUUGACAUGGACUGCCAGGGCUUUGUGAUGCGCUCUCAAAGAGUCGAGUUGUUUGGGAAUGCAGCUCAAAAUGGGUGGUAAAUUCCAUCUAAAGCUAAAUAUUGGCGAGAGACCGAUAGCGAACAAGUACCGUGAGGGAAAGAUGAAAAGAACUUUGGAAAGAGAGUUAAACAGUACGUGAAAUUGCUGAAAGGGAAACGCUUGAAGUCAGUCGCGUCAUCCAGGGAUCAACCUUGCUUUUGCUUGGUGCACUUUCUGGUUUGAUGGGUCAGCAUCAAUUUUGACCAUUGGAAAAAGGUUAAGGGAAUGUGGCAUCUUUGGAUGUGUUAUAGCCCUUGGUCACAUACAAUGGUUGGGAUUGAGGAACUCAGCAUGCCGCAAGGCCGGGUUUUAAAACCACGUUCGUGCUUAGGAUGCUGGCAAUAUGGCUUUAAUCGACCCGUCUUGAAACACGGACCAAGGAGUCUAACAUGCCUGCGAGUGUUUGGGUGGAAAACCCGAGCGCGUAAUGAAAGUGAAAAGUUGAGAUCCCUGUCGUGGGGAGCAUCGACGCCCGGACCAGACCUUUUGUGACGGUUCCGCGGUAGAGCAUGUAUGUUGGGACCCGAAAGAUGGUGAACUAUGCCUGAAUAGGGUGAAUCCAGAGGAAACUCUGGUGGAGGCUCGUAGCGAUUCUGACGUGCAAAUCGAUCGUCAAAUUUGGGUAUAGGGGCGAAAGACUAAUCGAACCAUCUAGUAGCUGGUUCCUGCC